RNAcentral lists this ribosomal RNA (442 nucleotides) under Lacticaseibacillus rhamnosus. RNAcentral's name for it is "bacterial SSU rRNA". It matches the Rfam family "Bacterial small subunit ribosomal RNA", at positions 87 to 511 of the family's 1533-position model. Lineage: Bacteria; Bacillati; Bacillota; Bacilli; Lactobacillales; Lactobacillaceae. The record is from RNAcentral.
UGAACGAGCUGGCGGACGGGUGAGCUAACACGUGGGUAACCUGCCCUCUAAGCUGGGGGAUAACAUCUUGGAAACAGAGCUAAUACCGCAUAAAUCCAAGAACCGCAUGGUCUCUUGGCUGAAGAGGCGUAAGCUAUCGCUCUUUGGAUGGACCCGCGGCGUAUUAGCUAGUCUGGUGAGGUAACGGCUCACCAAGGCAAUGAUACGUAGCCGAACUGAGAGGUUGAUCGGCCACAUUGGGACUGAGACACGGCCCAAACUCCUACGGGAGGCAGCAGUAGGGAAUCUUCCACAAUGGACGCAAGUCUGAUGGAGCAACGCCGCGUGAGUGAAGAAGGCUUUCGGGUCGUAAAACUCUGUUGUUGGAGAAGAAUGGUCGGCAGAGUAACUGUUGUCGGCGUGACGGUAUCCAACCAGAAAGCCACGGCUAACUACGUGCCAG